CCUACGGGAGGCAGCAGUGGGGAAUAUUGCACAAUGGGCGGAAGCCUGAUGCAGCGACGCCGCGUGAGGGAUGACGGCCUUCGGGUUGUAAACCUCUUUCAGCAGGGACGAAGCGAGAGUGACGGUACCUGCAGAAGAAGCGCCGGCCAACUACGUGCCAGCAGCCGCGGUAAGACGUAGGGCGCGAGCGUUGUCCGGAAUUAUUGGGCGUAAAGAGCUCGUAGGCGGCUUGUCGCGUCGACUGUGAAAACCCGCGGCUCAACCGCGGGCCUGCAGCCGAUACGGGCAGGCUAGAGUUCGGUAGGGGAGACUGGAAUUCCUGGUGUAGCGGUGAAAUGCGCAGAUAUCAGGAGGAACACCGAUGGCGAAGGCAGGUCUCUGGGCCGAUACUGACGCUGAGGAGCGAAAGCGUGGGGAGCGAACAGGAUUAGAUACCCUGGUAGUCCACGCUGUAAACGUUGGGCGCUAGGUGUGGGGGACCUCUCCGGUUCUCUGUGCCGCAGCUAACGCAUUAAGCGCCCCGCCUCGGGGAGUACGGCCGCAAGGCAAAACUUAAAUGAAUUGACG
This 567-nucleotide ribosomal RNA is filed under the name uncultured bacterium. RNAcentral describes it as "bacterial SSU rRNA". It matches the Rfam family "Bacterial small subunit ribosomal RNA", at positions 338 to 915 of the family's 1533-position model. The record is from RNAcentral.